GCCUCUACUAAUAAAGUGUCGCACUGCUCAGGACAUGAAAUUUCCUGGCUAGUUCUCUAAAUAAAUAAAGAAAUAGCUAAAUGAAAAUGACUCUAAGAAUACUCCACGAAUAAAAGUGAAGCUCAUCAAUAUCACUGGAAGGGAAUGAAGUCCUAACUCGUAGCCUACUCGCCUGCAAAUCGGGUUCCUACGUUGUACCACUGACCAACGUAGGUUCCCAAACGAGAACUUCCGUACCAUCCAUUGUACUCAGUGAGUCUCAACAACAGGGGGAGAAACUUUAAUAGCAUAUACAUUACGUGCAAAGGUUCUAGAUGCAUGUAAAACAUAAGGCUUAUAAGAAUAAUUCUAAAAUAAUUGCAUAAAUACUUCACUUUAUAGUUUAUACAUUGGGAGUUCCAACUAUUCUGACUUAAUUCUGUCUCAGUUACCGUGUGAUCGGCACGGGUUCCAUCCCAACCUGAUCGAAUAGGCCCAAUCCACGAGGUGCCACUUGAUUCAUGGUUCUCAGCGCUCAUGUAUCAUACCUUAGCAUGACUAAGUAAAUUCUCAGCAACGAGACCCUCGGCUCGUGUGCUCCCUACUUUGGCACAAGUAGUUUUUGGAAGUCAACGCCUUGGUCAGGACCCUCGGCCUGGACGAUGACCCCUUUUCAGAAUAAAGGAUACUUCCAAAAAUCUUUUAUUUCUAAAAUUUCUUCUUGUGACCUUUCAAGUCUAAAUCUUUUAUACAUAUUUAUACUGGUAUCCUUAAAUGUAAGGCAUGACAUAAGAAUGAAAUAAACAUUCAAAAGUAUUUAAAAAGAUUCUUGAUCCUUCAUGAACUGUCAAGAUGAAAAUGGCAUUUAAGAAUAACAUAAAAUCUGAAAAUUUAUGCACAUAUACCAUUAUAAAUCAUCUAAACUUUAGCUCAAACACUUCUAAGUUAAUAUAUUUUCAAAUCUCAAGUGUACAGGGGUUAUGACAGGAGCUUAAAAAAAUAUUUGUACUUAAAUGGUAAGGUCAAAAAUAGAGAUAACUCUAGAUCUUCACCACGAGACUUCUUAAUAGCAUUCAACAAACAUUUAGAUUAUGCUUUGUGAAAUAACUGGAGCUAGUCCUCUCUAGCAAAUUUGCUCGUUAAGCUUAUUUAUAAUAAUUCAGUUGCUAGCAAAAUCAAGAGGCAACUUGUCCAGUAAUGGUUGUUACUAAAGUAUUAACCAUCUUUUUGUUAGAAGCAUUGAAGAGAGAAACGAGCAACUAUACUCGCUCAAAUUAAGUACGUAUUAACUCUUUUAGAAAAUUCAUCAAACACUUUGUAUGUAUGCUUUAGUGAGUUAAACCAUUUUAGUAAAGGAUUAUAUCAACUCAGCUCAAAACUUCUCGAGCCAAUACGUAUGCCCCAGUCCAAUUGAUACCCGUCAAACAAUUGAUUCUACAACAACCGGGUAUUUUAAUUAAUUUCAAAGUUUCAAACCUAAACAUGGGAUUUACUAUUAAUACAGAAAAAGAAGGGAAUUAAUUAUUCAAUUCUUACUUAUUACUAUUAUAGGAUAAUUGAGAAUAGAAAAUUUUAUAUACCUGAAUUCAAGAAUCGGUGGUUUGUAAAGAACCCUAAAAAAUCUUGCGCUACCUGCGUAAACAAAAUAGCAUUCUGUUUCUUGUAUAAAGGCUGAGCAACGUGCUUCUUAUUAGUUUU
RNAcentral lists this long non-coding RNA (1677 nucleotides) under Nicotiana benthamiana. RNAcentral describes it as "long non-coding RNA (NBEN_LNC022945)". The record is from RNAcentral. Lineage: Eukaryota; Viridiplantae; Streptophyta; Magnoliopsida; Solanales; Solanaceae.